This 356-nucleotide ribosomal RNA is filed under the name uncultured Glomeraceae. Its description in RNAcentral is "SSU rRNA". It matches the Rfam family "Eukaryotic small subunit ribosomal RNA", at positions 569 to 929 of the family's 1831-position model. The record is from RNAcentral. Lineage: Eukaryota; Fungi; Glomeromycota; Glomeromycetes; Glomerales; Glomeraceae.
AGCAGCCGCGGUAAUUCCAGCUCCAAUAGCGUAUAUUAAAGUUGUUGCAGUUAGAAAGCUCGUAGUUGAAUUUCGGGAUUAGUACGUUGGUCGUGCCUUCGGUAUGUACUGAUGUUACUGGUUCCUACCUUCUGAAGAACCGUUAUGUCAUUAAUUUGGUGUGGCGGGGAAUCAGGACUGUUACUUUGAAAAAAUUAGAGUGUUUAAAGCAGGCUCGCGCUUGAAUACAUUAGCAUGGAAUAAUGAAAUAGGACGUUCGAUCCUAUUUUGUUGGUUUCUAGGAUUGACGUAAUGAUUAAUAGGGAUAGUUGGGGGCAUUAGUAUUCAAUUGUCAGAGGUGAAAUUCUUGGAUUUAU